CGGGUGUGUCGCGGCAGUGCAGCGGCCGCGAAGGGGUGUUUUGCUGUAUGUCAUAUUCCUCGUUUCGCCAGAGCGGGGGUCCCGAGCUUCGGGCGCGGGACGCGGGGGUGCUCCGAGGCUGCGAGUGGAGGCGUGACGUGACGUCCCUGGCAAGAGGCGCGCGGAGUCAGGCCUUACUUAGAACGUGUUCCCGCCGCACAGCUACCAGCGGGCGCGACCGCUACCCACGCAUGGUGCGGUCGAGUAAACGGCACCGCCUGGCGAGCGAGAGACGCAAAGGGACAUAGCCCCCUAGGAGCUGAGCUCUUCGGGGGUAAAGCGUUCUCACGUUGAUGAGACCAGGAGGCGGCGCACGCCUGGCUCCGCGGCCCAGGGGUUGCAGGUGCCCCAGGGUUCGCGGGGCGCAGACGCCGCAGAGGGCGACGCCCUGCCCGGGUCCCGCGCGGACCCGGGGGACGCAGGGUCUGACACGGAGUGCGGAGGGGCCCCAGACACGCAGUCCAUGUCCCUUGAAACCAGAGGCACGCGCGGCCACGCGCUAGGCCUUUCCCUUAAGCCUGUGACCAAGAUCUCCGGGACUCCCAGCGUUGGGACGGGCGCGCUGGCCCACGCCCAAGCGGGAGGAUCGCUUGCGCCCAGGAGAUUGAGACCAGCCUGAGCACCAAAGCGAGACCUCGUCUCUACAAAAAAUAAGACUCAAGAAGACACCCAGGGUGAAUCGCCCGUCUGCAGCCAGCCUCCCGAGCACCGUGGCCGCGUCUGACAACUGACCUCUGUGUCUGGGUGUCCCUGUCCUCAGAGGGACACGGGACCUCAGAAAGGACCACAGCCCGGCGGCAGGCAUGAUGGUGGGAAAGCUAGUUAGGACAGGUGAGGCACUAAAUUUAGCCUGUCAUAAUUUGUAUCAGGGAAAUGAUGAACUUGUAUUUUUACACACCAUGGGCACCAACACAAGAUAUGGUUUCGUAAGCAGCUUUGGCAAGAACCAAAGGAACGGAACCUCUGCUUCCAAGUGUACGGUCAGGAGCAGCGUGUUAAUUAACCCAAACCUGCAAGCAACCCAAGUACUCAUCAGCAGGUGAAUAAACAAACUGGCACAUCCACACUGCGGAACACGGCUCAACCCCCAGGAGGACCCGGCGCGGAGCCCGGCUCAACCCUGAAGAGGAUUUCACUACUGACACACACGACAUCACAGAGCCUGUGGAGGGACCCAGG
RNAcentral lists this long non-coding RNA (1218 nucleotides) under Homo sapiens (human). Its description in RNAcentral is "HSALNT0226168". Lineage: Eukaryota; Metazoa; Chordata; Mammalia; Primates; Hominidae. The record is from RNAcentral.